Molecule: ribosomal RNA, 743 nt
Filed under: uncultured bacterium
Lineage: Bacteria
Description: bacterial SSU rRNA
Rfam family: Bacterial small subunit ribosomal RNA
Source: RNAcentral
GUCGAGCGAGCUGAACAGCAGAUUCACUUCGGUGAUGACGCUGGGAACGCUAGCGGCGGAUGGGUGAGUAACACGUGGGUAACCUGCCCUAAAGUCUGGGAUACCACUUGGAAACAGGUGCUAAUACCGGAUAACAACAAUAGCUGCAUGGCUAUUGCUUAAAAGGCGGCGAAAGCUGUCGCUAAAGGAUGGACCCGCGGUGCAUUAGCUAGUUGGUAAGGUAAUGGCUUACCAAGGCGACGAUGCAUAGCCGAGUUGAGAGACUGAUCGGCCACAUUGGGACUGAGACACGGCCCAAACUCCUACGGGAGGCAGCAGUAGGGAAUCUUCCACAAUGGGCGAAAGCCUGAUGGAGCAACGCCGCGUGAGUGAAGAAGGUUUUCGGAUCGUAAAGCUCUGUUGUUGGUGAAGAAGGAUAGAGGUAGUAACUGGCCCCUAUUUGACGGUAAUCAACCAGAAAGUCACGGCUAACUACGUGCCAGCAGCCGCGGUAAUACGUAGGUGGCAAGCGUUGUCCGGAUUUAUUGGGCGUAAGGCGAGCGCAGGCGGAAAGAUAAGUCUGAUGUGAAAGCCCCCGGCUUAACCGAGGAAUUGCAUCGGAAACUGUGUUUCUUGAGUGCAGAAGAGGAGAGUGGAACUCCAUGUGUAGCGGUGGAAUGCGUAGAUAUAUGGAAGAACACCAGUGGCGAAGGCGGCUCUCUGGUCUGUAACUGACGCUGAGGCUCGAAAGCAUGGGUAGCGAA